CUAAUAUAUGUAUGAGUCAGAGGGUCACAUGAAAGUCACUGCGGUGCAAUGAAGGUGAGUGUCAGCCUUAUUCACUGACUGAGAUGGGAUCCCCAGGCCUCUCCAGUCCACUGAGGGCACACCAAUGUCCUGUCUCACCUGCUGCACAGGAGAGGUGGAGCAUGAGAGCACGAGUUAGGACCCAAAAGAUGGUGAACUAUGCCUGGGCAGGGUGAAGCCAGAAGAAACUGUGAUGUAGGUCCAUAGAAGUUCAGACAUGCAAACUGGUUGUCUGACCUAGGUGUAAGGGCGAAAGACUAAUCGAACCAUCUAGUAGCUGG
RNAcentral lists this non-coding RNA (320 nucleotides) under Loxodonta africana (African savanna elephant). RNAcentral's name for it is "Eukaryotic large subunit ribosomal RNA". It matches the Rfam family "Eukaryotic large subunit ribosomal RNA", at positions 675 to 954 of the family's 3401-position model. Lineage: Eukaryota; Metazoa; Chordata; Mammalia; Proboscidea; Elephantidae. The record is from Rfam by way of RNAcentral.